This 253-nucleotide ribosomal RNA is filed under the name uncultured bacterium. Its description in RNAcentral is "partial 16S ribosomal RNA". It matches the Rfam family "Bacterial small subunit ribosomal RNA", at positions 524 to 776 of the family's 1533-position model. The record is from RNAcentral.
UACGUAGGGUGCGAGCGUUGUCCGGAAUUAUUGGGCGUAAAGAGCUCGUAGGCGGCUUGUCGCGUCGUUCGUGAAAACCUGUGGCUCAACUACAGGCUUGCGGUCGAUACGGGCAGGCUGGAGUUCGGUAGGGGAGACUGGAAUUCCUGGUGUAGCGGUGAAAUGCGCAGAUAUCAGGAGGAACACCGGUGGCGAAGGCGGGUCUCUGGGCCGAUACUGACGCUGAGGGGCGAAAGCGUGGGGAGCGAACAGG